Molecule: ribosomal RNA, 466 nt
Filed under: uncultured bacterium
Lineage: Bacteria
Description: partial 16S ribosomal RNA
Rfam family: Bacterial small subunit ribosomal RNA
Source: RNAcentral
ACGCACGCUGGCGGCGUGCUUAACCCCUGCAAGUCGCACGGAAAGGCCUCUUUCGGGGGGUACUCGAGUGGCGAACGGGUGAGUAACACGUGAGUAACCUGCCCUUGACUUUGGGAUAACUUCAGGAAACUGGGGCUAAUACCGGAUAGGAGCUCCUGCUGCAUGGUGGGGGUUGGAAAGUUUCGGCGGUUGGGGAUGGACUCGCGGCUUAUCAGCUUGUUGGUGGGGUAGUGGCUUACCAAGGCUUUGACGGGUAGCCGGCCUGAGAGGGUGACCGGCCACAUUGGGACUGAGAUACGGCCCAGACUCCUACGGGAGGCAGCAGUGGGGAAUAUUGCACAAUGGGUGGAAGCCUGAUGCAGCAACGCCGUGUGCGGGAUGACGGCCUUCGGGUUGUAAACCGCUUUCGCUCAUGACGAAGCUUUGUGUGACGGUAGUGGGUAAAGAAGCACCGGCUAACUACGUG